AGAGUUUGAUCCUGGCUCAGGAUGAACGCUAGCUACAGGCUUAACACAUGCAAGUCGAGGGGCAGCGCGGGAGAAGCUUGCUUUUCCUGGCGGCGACCGGCGAAUGGGUGAGUAACACGUAUCCAACCUGCCCGUUACAAGAGGAUAGCCCUCCGAAAGGAGAAUUAAUACUCUAUGUUGUGGCAUUGCCGCAUGACAGUGCCACUAAAGAUUCAUCGGUAACGGAUGGGGAUGCGUCUGAUUAGGUAGUAGGCGGGGUAACGGCCCACCUAGCCGACGAUCAGUAGGGGUUCUGAGAGGAAGGUCCCCCACAUUGGAACUGAGACACGGUCCAAACUCCUACGGGAGGCAGCAGUGAGGAAUAUUGGUCAAUGGGCGAGAGCCUGAACCAGCCAAGUAGCGUGAAGGAUGACUGCCCUAUGGGUUGUAAACUUCUUUAGUGCGGGAAUAAAGUGAGCCACGUGUGGCUUUUUGCAUGUACCGCAAGAAUAAGCAUCGGCUAAUUCCGUGCCAGCAGCCGCGGUAAUACGGAAGAUGCGAGCGUUAUCCGGAUUUAUUGGGUUUAAAGGGAGCGUAGGCGGAAAGACAAGUCAGUUGUGAAAGUUUGCGGCUCAACCGUAAAAUUGCAGUUGAAACUGUUUUUCUUGAGUGCACAUGAGGAUGGUGGAAUUCGUAGUGUAGCGGUGAAAUGCUUAGAUAUUACGAAGAACUCCGAUUGCGGAGGCAGCUGUCUAGGGUGCAACUGACGCUGAGGCUCGAAAGUGCGGGUAUCAAACAGGAUUAGAUACCCUGGUAGUCCGCACAGUAAACGAUGAAUACUCGUGGUUGGCGAUAGACAGUCAGUCACCAAGCGAAAGCGAUAAGUAUUCCACCUGGGGAGUACGCCGGCAACGGUGAAACUCAAAGGAAUUGACGG
RNAcentral lists this ribosomal RNA (916 nucleotides) under uncultured bacterium. Its description in RNAcentral is "bacterial SSU rRNA". It matches the Rfam family "Bacterial small subunit ribosomal RNA", at positions 8 to 916 of the family's 1533-position model. The record is from RNAcentral.